Molecule: non-coding RNA, 1766 nt
Organism: Miniopterus natalensis
Lineage: Eukaryota; Metazoa; Chordata; Mammalia; Chiroptera; Miniopteridae
Source: RefSeq, a predicted model, not a curated record
CAGGCAAGGCUUGCAGCAGACGCAGCAGCAGCAGCAGACCGCCGCCCUGGUGCGGCAGCUCCAGAAGCAGCUCUCCAGUAACCAGCCACAGCAAGGAGUGACUCCCUAUGGGCAUCCUUCACACUUCUGAGUCUGGGAGACAAGUCAUGAAGUUUUAUGUUUGCACUGAAAAACAGAAAAUCUAAUUUAAUGCAUUAGAAAUGUCCCUUUGUUAUUUCAUUUCUUUGAAGUUUUCUUAUGUUUUAUGCUACACUUGUACAAAGGUGUUUAAACAAAAAGCAGAGGAGGAAGUGUGGUUUGGCUUGUUGCUUUCAGCUUUAAAGUAGAUUUAAAAUGUGGCUCAUGCCUACUCCAGGGAGAGUUUGGUAGCAGACUUUUUGAAAUUGGUGCUUUUUUUUGAAUCUCAUAGAAAGAAUGAAUUGUGGUGGACAUAAAAUAUUUAUAUAUUCAUUAGUGAAAGUUUUUUUCUUUUCAAACUGUGCCGGACCAAACUACUGAUUUGAAAGGCAUUUCAGUUCUUGACAGAAAAGUGGCCCAUUUAUUCUGCAUUUACCUUUGACAGUGAAGUGAACAUUUAUUCGCAUCACUCUAAUGUGAAAUGUUUGUAAUUUCAUAAGCACUUUAUACACUUUGUUCUUAUUUAUGUAGGUUUUUCUUUGCUUUUAUUGUGGUCAAAAGGUGCUGAAACAGGUUGUUGCUUAAACUUCUUAGACCAAGAACUUAAACCAAGGCUUCUGGGAGUGCCACCUAAGAACGUGGACACCUGUUGGAAGUAGCUGUACUCAGAUUUGUUUUCAGAGGCAAGGCCGUUGACCAGUCUGUGUGAAGGUACAGCAUGUAAAUUCUAGAGGCCCCAACAAACCACGGUGGAAUUGUUCCAAUUAUUUAUUGCCAGAUUUGGCAAAAACAACUGUGUCCAGUUUUGGUUCUCCUGAACCUUAUGCCAACUUGAGAAAAAAAAUCUCGCAGCUGGCGUGAGAUUUCAGUGCUCAAACUUGACAUGGUUUCCAGAGAACCUGGCCCCGGUCCAGAGGCUCUGGUUUUCAUAAAAGAUGUAUUUGCUGUUUAUUUUGUAUGGUAAGUAUUUGCUAUUUUGAAUUUAAUUAUUAAUGUUGGUGUCAGUCUUGGUUGUGUAUUGCAUAUACUGUAUUUAUAAAUUGGUGCAAAAAGCACAAGUAAAUUAUACAUCAAAUUUAUUAUAAAGAAAUAGUAACUAUUUUAACUUUGUUCAAGUAUGUGGUAAUUUGCUCCUAUUAGAGUAAAAAAAUACAGUAAAUUAUUAUCAGUUUGUGUAAUUUAAGAGUAUUCCAUAUAAUAUUUUUUUAGAUUUAGAUGCAUAAAAUUUUGAAUGUGAAAAUUGCAGGGCAUUUAAAAACAUACGUGGGGGUAUUUUCCCAUGUUCUGCGUUAACUCAUUUCCUUUUGCCAUGUGAUUCCACGUCAUGUAGUCACAUACUGUGAAUAGAUUUGUCUAGAAUGAGCAAACCACGUAGAACCACUCUUUUUUCAAUGUAACUAGUACAACUUUAGUAGAUCAUUUCCUUUGCAAAGCAUUAUAUAAAUAAUUUAUAUCUUCCUAGGUGAGUUACUCAUUGCAAAGUUUGACUCAUGCAAAUGACCUCAGAUCUCUGUCCGCUUACUUUGCUGUGGCAGCAUCCAUGCGAACUGCUUUGUACACUGUGAAACUCGUUUACUCCGGCUGCUCAUCGUGUUUACUCGGGGCCGGAAAAGAUUUUGCCAAAACAUUAAAGACCAUUCUUUUCACUA